RNAcentral lists this ribosomal RNA (402 nucleotides) under uncultured bacterium. Its description in RNAcentral is "bacterial SSU rRNA". It matches the Rfam family "Bacterial small subunit ribosomal RNA", at positions 975 to 1375 of the family's 1533-position model. The record is from RNAcentral.
CUGGGCUUGACAUCCCGAUCGCACUUUAUGGAAACAUAGAGGUCAGUUCGGCUGGAUCGGAGACAGGUGCUGCAUGGCUGUCGUCAGCUCGUGUCGUGAGAUGUUGGGUUAAGUCCCGCAACGAGCGCAACCCUUGUCCUUAGUUGCCAUCAUUUGGUUGGGCACUCUAAGGAGACUGCCGGUGUUAAACCGGAGGAAGGUGGGGAUGACGUCAAGUCCUCAUGGCCCUUAUGUCCAGGGCUACACACGUGCUACAAUGGCCGGUACAAAGGGAAGCAAGACCGCGAGGUGGAGCCAAUCCCAAAAAGCCGGUCUCAGUUCGGAUUGGAGUCUGCAACUCGACUCCAUGAAGUUGGAAUCGCUAGUAAUCGUGGAUCAGCAUGCCACGGUGAAUACGUUCCC